GGACUACCAGGGUAUCUAAUCCUGUUUGCUACCCACGCUUUCGCGUCUCAGCGUCAGUUGUCGUCCAGAAGGCCGCCUUCGCCACCGGUGUUSCGCUUGAUAUCUACGAAUUUCACCUCUACACCAAGCAUUCCACCUUCCUCUCCGACACUCAAGCUGUGCAGUUUCGGGUGCACUUCCACGGUUGAGCCGCGGGAUUUCACAUCCGACUUGCACUGCCGCCUACACGCGCUUUACGCCCAGUGAUUCCGAACAACGUUUGCACCCUCUGUCUUACCGCGGCUGCUGGCA
This 291-nucleotide ribosomal RNA is filed under the name uncultured bacterium. RNAcentral describes it as "partial 16S ribosomal RNA". The record is from RNAcentral.